GCAAACUUGGUCAUUUAGAGGAAGUAAAAGUCGUAACAAGGUUUCCGUAGGUGAACCUGCGGAAGGAUCAUUAACGAGUUGGCAGGUUGUCGCUGGGCUUCGUUGUAAGCCAUGUGCACGCCUGUAUUAAAAAUCCACUCUUUCCAACCUCUGUGCACUUUUUUUUGUAGGUCGGUUGAAAAGCUGGUUUAUAUUUUUGUAAGCCAGGCUGGAAGACCCUCCUGCAUUUUUUUCUUUACUACAAACGAGUCAGUUAUAGAAUGUUUGGCUUGCGUUAUAACGCGUCUAUUAUAUACAACUUUCAGCAACGGAUCUCUUGGCUCUCGCAUCGAUGAAGAACGCAGC
This 345-nucleotide unclassified non-coding RNA is filed under the name uncultured fungus. RNAcentral's name for it is "partial contains small subunit ribosomal RNA, internal transcribed spacer 1, and 5.8S ribosomal RNA". The stretch from base 1 to 73 matches the Rfam family "Eukaryotic small subunit ribosomal RNA", at positions 1759 to 1831 of the family's 1831-position model. Lineage: Eukaryota; Fungi. The record is from RNAcentral.